GACGAACGCUGGCGGCGUGCUUAACACAUGCAAGUCGAACGGUGAAGCUCCAGCUUGCUGGAGUGGAUCAGUGGCGAACGGGUGAGUAACACGUGAGCAACCUGCCCCUGACUCUGGAAUAAGCGCUGGAAACGGCGUCUAAUACUGGAUACGAGAAGGGUCCGCAUGGGCACUUUCUGGAAAGUUUUUCGGUUGGGGAUGGGCUCGCGGCCUAUCAGCUUGUUGGUGAGGUAAUGGCUCACCAAGGCGACGACGGGUAGCCGGCCUGAGAGGGCGACCGGCCACCCUGGGACUGAGACACGGCCCAGACUCCUACGGGAGGCAGCAGUGGGGAAUAUUGCACAAUGGGCGAAAGCCUGAUGCAGCGACGCCGCGUGAGGGAUGACGGCCUUCGGGUUGUAAACCUCUUUCAGCAGGGAAGAAGCGAAAGUGACGGUACCUGCAGAAGAAGCACCGGCUAACUACGUG
Molecule: ribosomal RNA, 468 nt
Filed under: uncultured bacterium
Lineage: Bacteria
Description: partial 16S ribosomal RNA
Rfam family: Bacterial small subunit ribosomal RNA
Source: RNAcentral